UACGAAGGGGGCUAGCGUUGUUCGGAAUCACUGGGCGUAAAGGGCGCGUAGGCGGCCGAUCAAGUCGGGGGUGAAAGCCUGUGGCUCAACCACAGAAUUGCCUUCGAUACUGUUUGGCUUGAGACCGGAAGAGGUUAGUGGAACUGCGAGUGUAGAGGUGAAAUUCGUAGAUAUUGGGAAGAACACCGAUGGCGAAGGCAGCCAUCUGGACCGACACUGACGCUGAGGCGCGAAAGCGUGGGGAGCAAACAGG
This 253-nucleotide ribosomal RNA is filed under the name uncultured bacterium. RNAcentral describes it as "partial 16S ribosomal RNA". It matches the Rfam family "Bacterial small subunit ribosomal RNA", at positions 524 to 776 of the family's 1533-position model. The record is from RNAcentral.